This 283-nucleotide unclassified non-coding RNA is filed under the name Hevea brasiliensis (rubber tree). The record is from RNAcentral. Lineage: Eukaryota; Viridiplantae; Streptophyta; Magnoliopsida; Malpighiales; Euphorbiaceae.
GCCAACUUUGUCCUAGUUUUCGUUUUUUAUUAUAUUGUUUCAGCAUAUAAGUUUGAGAUCAUUAAUUCACACAUUUUUGCAAUUGCUCCCUGUUGAUUAGAUAAGAUAACUGAUAAUAUUAACCAUGGGAAUGGAAACACCUGUAUACACUAGAUCUGGUUAUGGUUGAUUUAAAGAAGUCGGUUCCCGAAAAAGACAUUGAGGCUUUCUCCCUAUGGGGAGAUGGUGUCCGAAUGUUGAUGAGUAUACCAGAAAGUAGAAAGAAUCUACGUCAAAACAUGGU